RNAcentral lists this ribosomal RNA (535 nucleotides) under Enneanectes pectoralis (redeye triplefin). Its description in RNAcentral is "partial 16S ribosomal RNA". It matches the Rfam family "Bacterial large subunit ribosomal RNA", at positions 1852 to 2593 of the family's 2925-position model. The record is from RNAcentral. Lineage: Eukaryota; Metazoa; Chordata; Actinopteri; Blenniiformes; Tripterygiidae.
GUCCCGCCUGCCCUGUGACAUAUGUUUAACGGCCGCGGUAUUUUGACCGUGCAAAGGUAGCGCAAUCACUUGUCUUUUAAAUGGAGACCUGUAUGAAUGGCAUAACGAGGGCUUAACUGUCUCCUUCCUCCCGUCAAUGAAAUUGAUCUCCCCGUGCAGAAGCGGGGAUUACCCCAUAAGACGAGAAGACCCUGUGGAGCUUCAGACACCAAGGCAGACCUCGUCAAAAAAGCUCGCCCGCUUAAAACCUACCCUGCCUCACUGUCUUUGGUUGGGGCGACCGCGGAGAACUACAAAACCUCCAUGUGGACCGGGAGCACUGUCUCUUACAACUAAGAGUUCCCACUCUAAGCAACAGAACAUCUGACCAAUUAUGAUCCGGCAAAGCCGAUCAACGAACCAAGUUACCCCAGGGAUAACAGCGCAAUCCUCUUUUAGAGCCCAUAUCGACAAGAGGGUUUACGACCUCGAUGUUGGAUCAGGACAUCCUAAUGGUGCAGCCGCUAUUAAGGGUUCGUUUGUUCAACGAUUAAAG